GGGCGACUAGUCUAGUGGUCAGGACGCUUCGUUGUGGUCUAGGGAAGUACUUGAGCAACGUUCCGAAGAAACCCAGGUUCGAUUCCUGGGUCGCCCA
Molecule: non-coding RNA, 97 nt
Organism: Chaetomium strumarium
Lineage: Eukaryota; Fungi; Ascomycota; Sordariomycetes; Sordariales; Chaetomiaceae
Source: the annotation of a RefSeq genome assembly